RNAcentral lists this ribosomal RNA (253 nucleotides) under uncultured bacterium. Its description in RNAcentral is "partial 16S ribosomal RNA". It matches the Rfam family "Bacterial small subunit ribosomal RNA", at positions 524 to 776 of the family's 1533-position model. The record is from RNAcentral.
UACGGAGGGUGCGAGCGUUGUCCGGAAUCACUGGGCGUAAAGGGCGCGUAGGCGGCUCGGUAAGUAGGGGGUGAAAUCCUGCGGCUUAACCGCAGGGCUGCCUUCUAAACUGUCGAGCUCGAGCACGGUAGAGGCAGAUGGAAUCCCCGGUGUAGCGGUGGAAUGCGUAGAGAUCGGGAAGAACAUCAGUGGCGAAGGCGGUCUGCUGGGCCGUUGCUGACGCUGAGGCGCGACAGCGUGGGGAGCAAACAGG